This 889-nucleotide long non-coding RNA is filed under the name Pongo abelii (Sumatran orangutan). RNAcentral describes it as "lincRNA". The record is from RNAcentral. Lineage: Eukaryota; Metazoa; Chordata; Mammalia; Primates; Hominidae.
GGUUCCGCCGUGGACAAGCUGAAGUCUCUCUGGGGCCAGGGGACCCGCACGGCCCAGCCGCCCCACCCCACCAUCUCCCAGGCAUGUGAGAAAAUAUCACAUUCUCUGUGUUUUGGAGAUUUCUUCUAAAUGUAUUUUCCAACUAUCAUUUCAUAGCAAAUCAGCAAGAAAAAAGGUAUAAUAUUAGGCAGAAACCCAAUUUAAAAAGAAAAGCAGAGCUGUUGUAGAUUCAGCGAGGGUUGGCGACCUGGUUCCAAUGAGCCAUCUCCCUGUUCCGACAGGGGCUUCCUGGAGCUCCUGCAACCCCAGGCAUUAGUUCCAGUGCAGUUCUAGGAUCAGAUCAAUUCACUCGACAACAAGAGAAACAAAUGGAGAUUCCUACACAAAGACUUUCAAGCACAAAGAAAUCCUGCUGCCUAUAAAGCAGAGCUGCCUCAGCUCUUGAUGAACGACAGAAAAUCUCAAAUUCCAGGAAUUCAGAUGAAGUGAAGUGCUCUCAUGGGGACCAGGCGUGGGUAUGCCAGUCCACUGCCCUGCAAGUCUCAAGGGAAACCAACUGCCCAUCAGCAAGUCACACCUGCCUUGGUGGAGGCAUUGAUUGGAAGGGCCACAGGCUACAUGUCCAGUCCUGAGUGGGAGAAUCGGUGUAGGGAUGUUCUGGGGAUGCUGGCUGUGGCUAGAUCAGGUCCAGCUACAGAAGAAUAAUGAAGACUUCACCUGAGGGCUGGAAAAACAAAACCUCAAGUGUGAGGCAGCCAACCUAUUACCUCGAGGGACUGUCCCGCAGCACAGCAGGGCCAUGGGAACAGCAGCAGACACCCCGGCCUCCUCACUACCUGUGUGUGUAUUAGACACCCAGCCUCCUCACUACCUAUCAACUAUGGCCUGA